This 86-nucleotide transfer RNA is filed under the name Syntrophobacteraceae bacterium. Its description in RNAcentral is "tRNA-Leu". It matches the Rfam family "tRNA". From Rfam's summary of the family: Transfer RNA (tRNA) molecules are approximately 80 nucleotides in length. Their secondary structure includes four short double-helical elements and three loops (D, anti-codon, and T loops). The record is from RNAcentral. Lineage: Bacteria; Pseudomonadati; Thermodesulfobacteriota; Syntrophobacteria; Syntrophobacterales; Syntrophobacteraceae.
GCCGAAGUGGUGGAACAUGGUAGACACACCAUCUUGAGGGGGUGGCGGGGCGACCCAUGGGGGUUCGAGUCCCCCCUUCGGCACCA